RNAcentral lists this signal recognition particle RNA (99 nucleotides) under Acidobacteria bacterium 13_1_20CM_3_53_8. RNAcentral's name for it is "signal recognition particle sRNA small type". It matches the Rfam family "Bacterial small signal recognition particle RNA". Rfam says of the family: The signal recognition particle (SRP) is a universally conserved ribonucleoprotein involved in the co-translational targeting of proteins to membranes. Archaeal SRP consists of a 7S RNA and homologues of the eukaryotic SRP19 and SRP54 proteins. In most bacteria, the SRP consists of a 4.5S RNA and the Ffh protein (a homologue of the eukaryotic SRP54 protein). Lineage: Bacteria; Pseudomonadati; Acidobacteriota. The record is from RNAcentral.
CUUCGGGCUCCGCACAACGCCUGCCCUGUGAACCCCGCCAGGCCGGGAACGGAGCAACGGUAGCAGUGGCCGCGUGUGUUGCGGGUCAGUCCGGAGUCU